UACGUAGGGGGCAAGCGUUGUCCGGAAUCAUUGGGCGUAAAGCGCGUGUAGGCGGCUCGAUAAGUCUGCUGUGAAAGUCCAAGGCUCAACCUUGGGAUGCCGGUGGAUACUGUCGAGCUCGAGUCCGGAAGAGGAGUGUGGAAUUCCUGGUGUAGCGGUGAAAUGCGCAGAUAUCAGGAGGAACGCCAAUGGCGAAGGCAGCACUCUGGGACGUGACUGACGCUGAGACGCGAAAGCGUGGGGAGCAAACAGG
Molecule: ribosomal RNA, 253 nt
Filed under: uncultured bacterium
Lineage: Bacteria
Description: partial 16S ribosomal RNA
Rfam family: Bacterial small subunit ribosomal RNA
Source: RNAcentral